UCCCGUGUGGCUCAGUUGGUAAAGCAUGGUGUUUGCAAUGCCAGGGUUGUGGGUUUGAUUCCUACAGGGAA
This 71-nucleotide transfer RNA is filed under the name Salmo salar (Atlantic salmon). It matches the Rfam family "tRNA". Rfam says of the family: Transfer RNA (tRNA) molecules are approximately 80 nucleotides in length. Their secondary structure includes four short double-helical elements and three loops (D, anti-codon, and T loops). Further hydrogen bonds mediate the characteristic L-shaped molecular structure. tRNAs have two regions of fundamental functional importance: the anti-codon, which is responsible for specific mRNA codon recognition, and the 3' end, to which the tRNAs corresponding amino acid is attached (by aminoacyl-tRNA synthetases). tRNAs cope with the degeneracy of the genetic code in two manners: having more than one tRNA (with a specific anti-codon) for a particular amino acid; and 'wobble' base-pairing, i.e. permitting non-standard base-pairing at the 3rd anti-codon position. Lineage: Eukaryota; Metazoa; Chordata; Actinopteri; Salmoniformes; Salmonidae. The record is from Rfam by way of RNAcentral.